This 802-nucleotide long non-coding RNA is filed under the name Vigna radiata. RNAcentral's name for it is "long non-coding RNA (VRAD_LNC009032)". The record is from RNAcentral. Lineage: Eukaryota; Viridiplantae; Streptophyta; Magnoliopsida; Fabales; Fabaceae.
AAGGUUAUUGAUGGAGAAAAGAUAGAGGAAGAUGAGAUAACAAGGUCUUGAAGUCUUUGGGCAUUAUUAGGAGAAAUACUGAAGUUAACCCUAAAGAAGAAUGUCAAGCCACUAUCUUUACAAAUGAUAAGGUUGUCAAGGAGGAAAAGAUAGAAGAAGAAGAGCUAGAGAUGUAUGAAGAGGAAAUAAACGGGAGUAUCAAAACCUACUGAUGGGUAUUUGAUUUUAUUUUAUUUUAUUUUAUUUUAUUUUAUUUUUUUUAUUUGAUUUGAUUUUAAUUUUUUUUAUUUGAGUUGAUUUUAUUUGAUUUUAUUUUAUUUUAUGUGAUUUGAUUUGAUUUCAUUUGACUUGAUUUUAUUUUAUUUUAUCUUAUUUGAUUUGAUUUGAUUUUAUUUUAUUUUACUUUAUUUUUUUUUUAUUUUUUUUUAUUUUUUAUUUUUUUUAUUUUUUUUAUUUUAUUUUAUUUUAUUUUAUUUUAUUUUAUUUUUGAGUUAUGCGCUGCUUCUGAUGGCAGUAAUGAUUAACAUCUACUGAGGGAUGCUAAAAUUUUUGAAUCCACUGAAGGAUUCCAGGAAGGCACCUACUGAUGGGUGGUGGAAGGAAUUGCACUUACUGACAAGUGCUAAACAGCUUUGGGUCAGGCUCGUGACGUUAAACAAGUGCUACUAGGAGGCAACCUAGAUUUCUUCUUACACUUUUGCAUUUUAAAUUCCUACAAUAGGUUGAAUUUUAAUUUAAGUGUGUACUCUUGGCUUUAAUACUUUUUCUGAAAAUGUUUGAUUAACUGAUGUGCAUGAUGGAG